GAUGAACGCUAGCGGCAGGCCUAAUACAUGCAAGUCAAGGGGCCCAGCAAUGGGCACCGGCGGACGGGUGCGUAACGCGUACACAACAUACCUUUAAGUGGGGGAUAGCAUUGGGAAACUGAUGGUAAUACCCCAUAAUAAUUCAGGGAGGCAUUUCCUUGGAUUUAAAGCUCCGGCGCUUAGAGAUUGGUGUGCGUCCGAUUAGCUAGUUGGUGGGGUAACGGCUCACCAAGGCGACGAUCGGUAGGGGGUGUGAGAGCAUGACCCCCCACACGGGUACUGAGACACGGACCCGACUCCUACGGGAGGCAGCAGUGGGGAAUUUUGGACAAUGGGGGGCAACCCUGAUCCAGCAAUGCCGCGUGAGUGAAGAAGGCCUUCGGGUUGUAAAGCUCUUUGUCAGGGAAGAAACAGCAGCUCUAACACAGUCUGCGAAUGACGGUACCUGAAGAAUAAGCACCGGCUAACUACGUG
RNAcentral lists this ribosomal RNA (474 nucleotides) under uncultured bacterium. RNAcentral's name for it is "bacterial SSU rRNA". It matches the Rfam family "Bacterial small subunit ribosomal RNA", at positions 28 to 507 of the family's 1533-position model. The record is from RNAcentral.